RNAcentral lists this ribosomal RNA (864 nucleotides) under uncultured bacterium. RNAcentral's name for it is "bacterial SSU rRNA". It matches the Rfam family "Bacterial small subunit ribosomal RNA", at positions 8 to 853 of the family's 1533-position model. The record is from RNAcentral.
AGAGUUUGAUCCUGGCUCAGGAUGAACGCUGGCGGCGUGCCUAAUACAUGCAAGUCGAGCGAACAGAUAAGGAGCUUGCUCCUUUGACGUUAGCGGCGGACGGGUGAGUAACACGUGGGUAACCUACCUAUAAGACUGGGAUAACUUCGGGAAACCGGAGCUAAUACCGGAUAACAUUUGGAACCGCAUGGUUCUAAAGUGAAAGAUGGUUUUGCUAUCACUUAUAGAUGGACCCGCGCCGUAUUAGCUAGUUGGUAAGGUAACGGCUUACCAAGGCAACGAUACGUAGCCGACCUGAGAGGGUGAUCGGCCACACUGGAACUGAGACACGGUCCAGACUCCUACGGGAGGCAGCAGUAGGGAAUCUUCCGCAAUGGGCGAAAGCCUGACGGAGCAACGCCGCGUGAGUGAUGAAGGGUUUCGGCUCGUAAAACUCUGUUAUUAGGGAAGAACAAACGUGUAAGUAACUGUGCACGUCUUGACGGUACCUAAUCAGAAAGCCACGGCUAACUACGUGCCAGCAGCCGCGGUAAUACGUAGGUGGCAAGCGUUAUCCGGAAUUAUUGGGCGUAAAGCGCGCGUAGGCGGUUUCUUAAGUCUGAUGUGAAAGCCCACGGCUCAACCGUGGAGGGUCAUUGGAAGCUGGGAAACUUGAGUGCAGAAGAGGAAAGUGGAAUUCCAUGUGUAGCGGUGAAAUGCGCAGAGAUAUGGAGGAACACCAGUGGCGAAGGCGACUUUCUGGUCUGUAACUGACGCUGAUGUGCGAAAGCGUGGGGAUCAAACAGGAUUAGAUACCCUGGUAGUCCACGCCGUAAACGAUGAGUGCUAAGUGUUAGGGGGUUUCCGCCCCUUAGUGCUGCAGCU